Molecule: non-coding RNA, 130 nt
Organism: Hypoxylon sp. FL1857
Lineage: Eukaryota; Fungi; Ascomycota; Sordariomycetes; Xylariales; Hypoxylaceae
Source: the annotation of a GenBank genome assembly
GGGCUUGUGGUUUAGUGGUAUAAUACUCCCUUAGCACGUGACGAGACACGGCGGCGUCUAUAUGAUGACUGGCUUUACUCCAACCCGUCUAUUCUGGGAGUGGUCCGGGGUUCGAUUCCCCGCGAGUCCA